UGAACGCUGGCGGCGUGCCUAAUACAAGCAAGUCGAGCGAACAGACGAGGAGCUUGCUCCUCUGAAGUUAGCGGCGGACGGGUGAGUAACACGUGGAUAACCUACCUAUAAGACUGGGAUAACUUCGGGAAACCGGAGCUAAUACCGGAUAACAUGUUGAACCGCAUGGUUCAACAGUGAAAGAUGGUCUUGCUGUCACUUAUAGAUGGAUCCGCGCCGCAUUAGCUAGUUGGUAAGGUAACGGCUUACCAAGGCAACGAUGCGUAGCCGACCUGAGAGGGUGAUCGGCCACACUGGAACUGAGACACGGUCCAGACUCCUACGGGAGGCAGCAGUAGGGAAUCUUCCGCAAUGGGCAAAAGCCUGACGGAGCAACGCCGCGUGAGUGAAGAAGGUCUUCGGAUCGUAAAACUCUGUUAUUAGGGAAGAACAAAUGUGUAAGUAACUAUGCACGUCUUGACGGUACCUAAUCAGAAAGCCACGGCUAACUACGUGCCAGCAGCCGCGGUAAUACGUAGGUGGCAAGCGUUAUCCGGAAUUAUUGGGCGUAAAGCGCGCGUAGGCGGUUUUUUAAGUCUGAUGCGAAAGCCCACGGCUCAACCGUGGAGGGUCAUUGGAAACUGGAAAACUUGAGUGCAGAAGAGGAGAGUGGAAUUCCAUGUGUAGCGGUGAAAUGCGCAGAGAUAUGGAGGAACACCAGUGGCGAAGGCGACUUUCUGGUCUGUAACUGACGCUGAUGUGCGAAAGCGUGGGGAUCGAACAGGAUUAGAUACCCUGGUAGUCCACGCCGUAAACGAUGAGUGCUAAGUGUUAGGGGGUUUCCGCCCCUUAGUGCUGCAGCUAACGCAUUAAGCACUCCGCCUGGGGAGUACGACCGCAAGGUUGAAACUCAAAGGAAUUGACGGGGACCCGCACAAGCGGUGGAGCAUGUGGUUUAAUUCGAAGCAACGCGAAGAACCUUACCAAAUCUUGACAUCCUCUGACCCCUCUAGAGAUAGAGUUUUCCCCUUCGGGGGACAGAGUGACAGGUGGUGCAUGGUUGUCGUCAGCUCGUGUCGUGAGAUGUUGGGUUAAGUCCCGCAACGAGCGCAACCCUUAAGCUUAGUUGCCAUCAUUAAGUUGGGCACUCUAAGUUGACUGCCGGUGACAAACCGGAGGAAGGUGGGGAUGACGUCAAAUCAUCAUGCCCCUUAUGAUUUGGGCUACACACGUGCUACAAUGGACAAUACAAAGGGUAGCGAAACCGCGAGGUCAAGCAAAUCCCAUAAAGUUGUUCUCAGUUCGGAUUGUAGUCUGCAACUCGACUACAUAAAGCUGGAAUCGCUAGUAAUCGUAGAUCAGCAUGCUACGGUGAAUACGUUCCCGGGUCUUGUACACACCGCCCGUCACACCACGAGAGUUUGUAACACCCGAAGCCGGUGGAGUAACCUUUUGGAGCUAGCCGUCGAAGGUGGGACAAAUGAUUGGGGUGAAGUCGUAACAAGGUAGCCGUAUCGGAAGG
RNAcentral lists this ribosomal RNA (1501 nucleotides) under uncultured bacterium. RNAcentral describes it as "16S ribosomal RNA". It matches the Rfam family "Bacterial small subunit ribosomal RNA". The record is from RNAcentral.